AAUGGGGGCAACCCUGAUCCAGCGACGCCGCGUGUGUGAAGAAGGCCUGCGGGUUGUAAAGCACUUUUAGUGGGGAUGAAAAGCCGAAGGCUAAUACCUUUCGGUCUUGACCUAACCCAAAGAAAAAGCACCGGCUAACUCUGUGCCAGCAGCCGCGGUAAUACAGAGGGUGCAAGCGUUAAUCGGAAUUACUGGGCGUAAAGCGUGCGUAGUCGGUUAUUCAAGUCGGGUGUGAAAGCCCCGGGCUCAACCUGGGAAUUGCAUUCGAUGCUGUUUAGCUAGAGUUCGGCAGAGGGAAGCGGAAUUUCCGGUGUAGCGGUGAAAUGCGUAGAUAUCGGAAGGAACAUCAGUGGCGAAAGCGGCUUCCUGGACCAGAACUGACGAUCAGGCACGAAAGCGUGGGGAGCAAA
Molecule: ribosomal RNA, 410 nt
Filed under: uncultured bacterium
Lineage: Bacteria
Description: bacterial SSU rRNA
Rfam family: Bacterial small subunit ribosomal RNA
Source: RNAcentral